Molecule: long non-coding RNA, 989 nt
Organism: Populus euphratica (Euphrates poplar)
Lineage: Eukaryota; Viridiplantae; Streptophyta; Magnoliopsida; Malpighiales; Salicaceae
Exons: 2
Source: RefSeq, a predicted model, not a curated record
GUCACGCUGGAACCCUUCCGUGGCUUGCAGGCCACUAACUCCACCUCAAAAAUUAGAGUUGCGCUGUUUAAAGUAUACAAAUAUUUAAUGAAGAGCGUGCACAAACUGGCACAUUGGAUUAUUCUAGCCAUACAAGCUCCAUUUUCAAUUCAAAAAAUUUAGAUCUUUGAUCCACCAAAGUAACUGAUUUGCAAAGUUUAUAAUAAAAUUGCACAAGGUUCUUGCAUAUCUCUAAUGGUAGUUGGACCAACAUACAGUCUACCUCUGUAGUUGGACCCACAAAUUCAUAUCUUGUUUCUGUCACAAAAUUGCAUGACUAGUUUCAUCGAAACGGUCACCUCAAAUGUUAUAUGCAUGAUUCAUGAGUUAUUUUUUUCAUUAUAACAUCAAAAGAAUAGGUAGGUAUACAUCCUUUGUUAAUAUAUCAGAAAACUAGAAUCAGAUAUCCAAGAUGGAAGAUCCAAGACUACACUCAGAACCAUCCACUAGGAGAAUUGGAUUACUGGUUUCGAAAAACAUUCAGUUCAACUGCCAUCCACCAAGGUUUAAAUCUUGUUGGAGAUUUGAAAGGCUGUCUGAAAGGGAGGUCUGAGCCUAUACGGGGAAAAAUUAAGGAUGGGCUUCCUGUUAAGUGUUUAAACACCAGUCUACGACUACCUCGUUGAUUGUGCACACGUGCAGGUUUUAUUAAUACUUUGAAUAGGUUGCUGAUGAGGGUGCGGUGCCAAGGAGGAUAUUCGAGCAGCCCGUGUUGAAAAUAAUGGUGGCGGCCAAUAAGGAUUCCAACGAGGAUGCUCAACGAGCUGGGGUGAGAAUGGUGGUGGCAGUAGCAGUGGCAGUAGGUGAUUCUAGUAAAAAUACCAAUCAUAUUUAGGAAACGCUUUUGGAGACAAAAAAACUCCAAUCACAUUUAUUUCAUCUCCAGUAGAUCUUUCCUAGGCCAUUGAUUUUGAGCACAAAUGUUCCUAAUUCAAACAAGUCUCCGUAUC